RNAcentral lists this transfer RNA (76 nucleotides) under Bacilli bacterium. RNAcentral's name for it is "tRNA-Lys". It matches the Rfam family "tRNA". From Rfam's summary of the family: Transfer RNA (tRNA) molecules are approximately 80 nucleotides in length. Their secondary structure includes four short double-helical elements and three loops (D, anti-codon, and T loops). Lineage: Bacteria; Bacillati; Bacillota; Bacilli. The record is from RNAcentral. RNAcentral also lists the same sequence under 1 other name.
GACCCGCUAGCUCAGUCGGUAGAGCACAUGACUUUUAAUCAUGGGGUCAGGAGUUCGAAUCUCCUGCGGGUCACCA